RNAcentral lists this long non-coding RNA (1242 nucleotides) under Delphinapterus leucas (beluga whale). RNAcentral's name for it is "lncRNA (ENSDLEG00000003057.1)". Lineage: Eukaryota; Metazoa; Chordata; Mammalia; Artiodactyla; Monodontidae. The record is from RNAcentral.
GUCAUCAGCUUAACAACUGCCUAAGUGCCCAGCUGUGGGUUUGAGAAUUUCGGAAAUUGUUAAGUUACAUGUAAAAAUCACCUAGGUCGCCAAUGUGUUGCCCAGCGGGGCACCCUCCACCCCCACCCGAAGGAAGAGCCCCGGGAACCCGAGAACCGCGGGUCAAAUCCGCAGGGAACCUACUUGGGCGGACCCGGGCCACCUGAGCGCCCGAGCCAGGCUGAGGCUCCUCCCGACGCAGCUACGCCCUUCGGAGCCGGGGGCGGGGCGAGGCGGCCUGGAGCUCCGGGGGUGCGGCCGGGGUCCCGCGGGGUGCGGUUCCUGUGCUCGCGCCGCGUCCUGAGGCCGCCACACCUGGGUUGCCGCCGGACCGCAGCCGAGCUCAGAGCUCCGCGCUGGGUCCGCCGGAAGGUGCUCCGCCAGGGAGGUCCGGGCAACCCGCGGUGCGGCGAGAAAUGCGUCCCCGGGAAACCGCGCCCGGCGGCGGAGGGGCGAGGAGCUCGGAGCUAAAGUCCUAGUCUCGGCCCUAAAGUCCUCGCCUCGGCCCCGCGCGCGGAACCUCGUAAAAACCUUCGAAGGACCGAAAUCGCCGUUUUAUCGCGGAAGGCAAACACUGCGCGAACUUCCUGGUUCCCAUAGUGCGACGCUCGGCUGCCCAGACCCACAGAAUUCUUCGUUUUAAACCCAAGACGUGCGAGUCACCUGCUUAGCAAAUAUGAUCACAAACUUACCUCCUGCUUGUUCCCCUAAACACCCUCUUCUCUUUCCUAAAGAAACCGAUUGGUCUUCUCUUUCCCCUCCCUCCCUUUCUCCUAUUACCCCUACCUCUGAUUACUGCGUGCACGUCUUCUGUACCCGCCAGAGGGUGUGAAUACACUUUGCUUUCUUCCUGUUCACCUGUGUUUUGUCAAUUUAAUUUUCAGGACCUCCAAGCACAGUCCCAAAAGGGAAGAGGGAAAAUUUUUCCUCUGGCAGAACCAAGUUUCAUUGUAUCAUUUCAUCCUUAAGUAUUUCAACAUACCCAAAGGACAGGAGUUUUUAGAGAAACAACCACAAUAUCAUUAACACACCUGAAAAAUAACAAUUUCCUAAUAUCAAAUAUCCAUCCUUGUGUGUCCAAUAUGGCAGCCAGCUGUCAUAUCUUGAGUGCUCGAAUGUGACUGGUCUGAAUUAAGACGUGCUGUAACAGUAAAAAGACACACCAGAUUUCAAAGAUUUAGUGGGAAACAAAAAAAGUAAAAG